GGCUACUUAGCUCAGUUGGUAGAGCUCAACAAUCAUAAUGUUGAGGUCGGCGGUUCGAUCCCGCCAGUAGCCUCCA
RNAcentral lists this transfer RNA (76 nucleotides) under Vibrio chagasii. Its description in RNAcentral is "tRNA-Met". It matches the Rfam family "tRNA". Rfam says of the family: Transfer RNA (tRNA) molecules are approximately 80 nucleotides in length. Their secondary structure includes four short double-helical elements and three loops (D, anti-codon, and T loops). The record is from RNAcentral. Lineage: Bacteria; Pseudomonadati; Pseudomonadota; Gammaproteobacteria; Vibrionales; Vibrionaceae.